CUGACUUACCUUAGAUCAGGUGACCAUUUUGAACUCCAUCUAUCCUCCCCGUAACCUCCCCAAAUGUCUGUACACAACCUAAGUGUCAGCUAGCAAUUGUAUUGUCUAUAUUUAUCUGAGCCUCUGAAGAGCUGGUUAGGAUCUGCUCUGUUACUAUGGGGUUCUGUUGUGCAGUGCAUUUCAUUGUAUCAUUGGUUACUUACUGUAUUGAUGCCUUUUCUUUGGAUGUCAACUGCCUUGCUAAAGCUGGAACUACCCUAAAAUGGUUCAUAUGUAAGUUUCAACAGAAGAGAGAAAAACUUAUAUCUUAUUCAUUUAGGUCCUGAUCCAGCAAAGCACUUCAGUACAUGAGAAAUCCCACUGAAGUGAGAGAACCUACUUGUGUACUUAAAGUACACAUGAUUAUUAAUAAAGUGUCUUGCUCCUUAAUCUUUGAUAAUACAUUUAAUGUCAGUGGUAUAAUCUAGACAACAGUGUAAAACCAUUUAAUAAAACUCUAUGUUUUAACAAAGGGCUUAUUUGUCUUGUUUUUUUUUUAUCAUUCAAACGUGUACUAUGCUGGUUUUUGGUCAUUCAGCUUUUUGACGUAUACAUAGACUAGUUUAUAGGAGGUAAAUCCAGGUACCACUGCCUAUAGCUAAUGUUUCCCAGCACUUUCAGGGCAAGACCUGCUUAUAGUUCUUUACAGUUUUUUCAGACUUUCACCAUUAGCCUUGAAUUUUCAUGCCAGUAUCUUACUCGGGCUGCAUUUUUGUGGGAAAUUUCAGUUAAAAACGUUUAGCCGCUUCAAAGGAGAAAGAAGAGGGAUAGCUUUAUUUGCCCAUGUUUAUAAAGUUUCUAUGACCAUGUAAUGGAGAUUUUGGAACAGGGGCUUGACAUUUGGCAGGGAAAGACUUUCCCUGAAGUCAAGUAUGUGUUUUUUGCCAUUGCUGUGAAAAUUUGCCUAAAUCAUAGUCUUCAGAAAAACCUCAGUUUGCACAUGUUUGGAAAAUAUUUUGGCAGUUAAUGGAGAAGAAGCAGGAACUGGGUAUGGGGGAUAGGAGCAGAAAGGGUAGGGAAAGACUUGGGGAAAAUAGGCAAGGGCAGGUAGGUUGGUACCCACUAGUGCCCAGUGUCCUACUAAAAAUGGUAAGUGCUCAGAAGAAACACAUCACUUUAACAAUAUUAAGUAUAAAGAUGUAGGUAGGUGUUAAAAUGCCAUCAUCUUAAACUGAAGGCUAUAUCAUAGGUACAAAGUAGAUGGAACAAAUUAAGGAUCUGCAAUAAUUUUAGCUUUAGCAUUUGUUAACUUUUGAGUGUUUGACAUUGUAGCCAUAAUGUUCUUUUAAUGUAUUCCUUUUGAUAUUUUCCAUAUAUCGUCCUCUAGCUUCUGAUAAAUAUUAAGUUAUGUUUAGCAUAUUUGCCUUAUUAUCAUUGUCCAAAUCUAUAACCACCAUUGUGCUGACAUCUGGGAAAUGAAGCAGUUCAGAACAUGCAGUACUAACAAAUAAAAACCGUUGAUAAGUUAACUGUGCAUGUCCUAACAAUUCACUGGCUACACAGUUAAUAUUAGUAUAGGUUGGGGAAAUCAUUUGACCAUGAAUAUGCAUGUUUUUAUAGCAGGUGCUGGGGUACCACCAGAUACAGUUAAAGAGCACUUCGACUAGAGAAAGUGAUUUUUUUCUUUUUCUUUUAUUUUGGAAGUGGCGUUGAAAGGCCCUUGUCUGUCUUCAAAGAGCACCUGGUUGCUCUCAAGUAUAUUUGCCCACCUGCUCCUACUUUUCUGUGUGGUAAACCUGGAAAUGAGAUGGUAAAGCUACCCUGGAGUUGCCACCCUCUGCUGCUUUCAAGCACACCUGAGAGAGCUAUCCUGAGAAAAGCAACAAGGAGGCCCCUUGGAGCAGCUCCAACACAUAUUUAGGUUUGGCACAUGCAAGUGGGAGCAAUGAGGGGUGCUCACCAGCAAGUGCUAUUCAAGAGCAGUGCUCACCAGGAAGACGGCGAUGCACUGUUGACACGGUGCCUCAAUACAAGACAUGCUGACAGAGAUUAAAAACACUGCAACAGCAAAAAGAUAAACUGACACAAAUAAGGAUUAAGUGAUUUGUCUGAGGUCAAACAAAGUCCACAGGAGAGCUGGCAAAUGAAUACUGAUUUCCUGAGUC
This is a long non-coding RNA of Gavialis gangeticus (Gharial), 2144 nucleotides long. RefSeq lists it as uncharacterized. The record is from RefSeq and is a predicted model, not a curated record. NCBI's taxonomy places the organism in Eukaryota, Metazoa, Chordata, Crocodylia, Gavialidae. The transcript has 3 exons.